UGUGUAGGGAACAGUCACAUCACAUGUGUGUGAGCAUCACUGAGACGAUGUGGAUUACUUUUUCUUUAGUCACGCUUGCGUGGUUUUCUACAGCCCAAGCUGGCGGCAACUGUGAACAUGUCUUUGAUGAAUGUCUAAAACAACAACAACAAGGUGGUGGCCCCUGGACCAGGUGCUAUGAGGACAGCAUUGCAAGCUGUACAGUGAG
Perca flavescens (yellow perch) is the source of this 208-nucleotide long non-coding RNA. RefSeq lists it as uncharacterized. Lineage: Eukaryota; Metazoa; Chordata; Actinopteri; Perciformes; Percidae. The transcript is spliced from 3 exons. The record is from RefSeq and is a predicted model, not a curated record.